Molecule: ribosomal RNA, 305 nt
Filed under: uncultured bacterium
Lineage: Bacteria
Description: partial 16S ribosomal RNA
Rfam family: Bacterial small subunit ribosomal RNA
Source: RNAcentral
CCCUACGGGGGGCAGCAGUGGGGGAUAUUGCACAAUGGGGGGAACCCUGAUGCAGCGACGCCGCGUGGGUGAAGAAGCGCCUCGGCGCGUAAAGCCCUGUCAGCAGGGAAGAAAAUGACGGUACCUGAAGAAGAAGCCCCGGCUAACGACGUGCCAGCAGCCGCGGUAAUACGUAGGGGGCAAGCGUUAUCCGGAUUUACUGGGUGUAAAGGGGGCGCAGACGGCGAUGCAAGCCAGGAGUGAAAGCCCGGGGCCCAACCCCGGGACUGCUCUUGGAACUGCGUGGCUGGAGUGCAGGAGGGGCG